Long non-coding RNA from Vicia villosa (hairy vetch), 257 nucleotides. RefSeq lists it as uncharacterized. The record is from RefSeq and is a predicted model, not a curated record. The transcript is spliced from 3 exons. Lineage: Eukaryota; Viridiplantae; Streptophyta; Magnoliopsida; Fabales; Fabaceae.
GUCAGUGAAAUGAGAGAUAAACCUUCAUGCAAAGUUUCUCAAUGUUGAGAAUGUACUUGGCUUACACGAGGCUCUUCGGAGAUAAAUAGUAGCUUUGAUGAAUGUAGAAGGAAUCAAUAGGGAACUUGUUGCAAGCCAUCUCCACAUUACAUUUUCUUUAAUAUUGUUAUUUACAAAUCUGUUGUUGCUAAAGCAGCUGUAUGUUUGGAUGGACCAUUUUCUGCUUAUCAUUUCAACUGUGGAUUCGGAUCGGGAGC